Molecule: ribosomal RNA, 502 nt
Filed under: uncultured bacterium
Lineage: Bacteria
Description: bacterial SSU rRNA
Rfam family: Bacterial small subunit ribosomal RNA
Source: RNAcentral
GAGUUUGAUCCUGGCUCAGGACGAACGCUGGCGGCGUGCCUAACACAUGCAAGUCGAACGGACGAGGAGGAGCUUGCUUCUCCAAGUCAGUGGCGGACGGGUGAGUAACGCGUGAGUAACCUGCCCUUCAGAGGGGGAUAACGUCUGGAAACGGACGGUAAUACCGCAUAACGUACAAAGGCCGCAUGACCAUUGUACCAAAACUGAGGUGCUGAAGGAUGGGCUCGCGUUGGAUUAGAUAGUUGGUGGGGUAACGGCCUACCAAGUCGACGAUCCAUAGCCGGACUGAGAGGUUGAACGGCCACAUUGGGACUGAGACACGGCCCAGACUCCUACGGGAGGCAGCAGUGGGGAAUAUUGCACAAUGGGGGAAACCCUGAUGCAGCAACGCCGCGUGAAGGAAGACGGUUUUCGGAUUGUAAACUUCUGUUCUUAGUGAAGAUAGUGACGGUAGCUAAGGAGCAAGCCACGGCUAACUACGUGCCAGCAGCCGCGGUAAUAC